ACUCUCUCUCUCUCUCUCUCUCUCUCUCUCUCUCUCUCUCUCUCUGUGUGUGUGUGUGUGUGUGUGUGUGUCUGCUUUUUUCAUUCAAUGCUACUGGCAAAUUGUGAGAAGAAAAUGUUGUUUAGUGGCUACAUUAUAUGCUUAUGUUUGAGGUUAUGCAUCUUUAUAAUAUCAGUAGGGAUAUGUUGUUUAUGUAUUCUAUGAGCUUGUGAGCAAGGUGGGACUGAGAACAAAUAUUUUCCUAGGAUGGAUUGUGGAGAUUCAUAAACUUGUAUAGGCAUUUGUUAGGCCUUGAACUCCUUAUCCCAGCACUUCUACUUUCUUGCGUGCAUUAUGAAUGUUGCUCUCCUGUCCCUCUUCCUUUUGUAGGAACUUAAGAUAUGCUGUAUCUUUCUUUCCUUUUCUAUUAUAGGAAUAGACAGAGCUGUGAAAAUGUCAUCUGGAUAAGCUUGGUAAUAAAAAAAAUAAUGGUGGAAUUUUGUAACAAAUCGAAAUUGAUUGUGGUAAAAGCAUUUACUUCACCUUUCCUUCUUUAAUUGAGGUCUGUGUCUAUAGAAGAUAGAAGAAUAUCAUGAUAUAGCAGUCACAUUGCAUCGUUCUAUUAGUAAGUUCAUUGAUGAUAGAAAAUGAAUGUGCAAUACCUGUGUGAUAGAAAGCAAUCUUUAGAUUAUCGGCAGUCAAAUAUUGUAACACAAAGGAGAUUAAUGGAUAUCGCUUACCCUGGCUUAGGUGUCUCUGUCUAUUCCUGUGUAAGUUAGCAUGAUUGUUUCAAAAGAGUGAAGUGCGUAAGUCAUCUACAAAGAGAGAUGCAAUUCAAACUGCUUGUCAUAUCUAACUAUACAGGAUUGAGUUAGAAAUCUUAGUGAAGCCUCUAUUCAUAAAACUCCAGUUUAGUAUAGAUUGAAGAUAGCCUCAAGUGGUGGAUAUCAAGUGUGUUGCAAGUAUAGCUAAAAAAAGCCUGUCUGGUUGUCUCUUAUAGAAAUCAGAUACCAUUUUUGUUGUCAUUGACUUUAAGCUCUUUUUUGUUCUUUCUGUCUGCUUUAACAUUGUUCAUUAUCCGGUUAUCAGGUAAGAGUGAACUUGAAUGGAGAGGAGACAGAAAAGGCAUUUGAUGAUGUUGUGUCAAAUUUGGCCCAUGCUGCACCACCUAUUCCAGGGUUUUGUAGAAUGAAAGGAGGUAAGCUUUUGCAGGUAAAAGGCAAUCUGUUGGUAGCUGUGCUGUGCAACCUUUUAUUUGCUAUAAGGUCAUAAUGUUUACUUCUUUGUUCAACAUCUUUGGUCAUCUCUUCCUCCUAGCAACUAGAGAUAGCAUAAUUCCUGCAUAUCCAAAUUUGUCGAAAUUUGGCUCGAGACUUUUCCCCUCUGUGUUCUCUGGAUGACUCAAGGAACUUCCAGAACAUGUAACAUCCUUUCUAUUUGUUGAUUAUGCCCAUAAUUUUUUCAACAAUUGGAACUGAGAGAAAUAAGGGAACAAUGCUGUUUAUGAAUUGAUUAUGAGUUUUCAUUUUGUGAGUUGAGGUUGGAUAAAAAUUACGCACUAGAUUAAACUCAAUGUUUGAUAGGUGGAAAGGAAGAAUACUGCUUGUAGUUUGUUGCUCACCAAUGUGUUAUGAUUUUGGGG
Molecule: long non-coding RNA, 1621 nt
Filed under: Phoenix dactylifera (date palm)
Lineage: Eukaryota; Viridiplantae; Streptophyta; Magnoliopsida; Arecales; Arecaceae
Description: long non-coding RNA (PDAC_LNC014249)
Source: RNAcentral